ACCAAACAGAGGGGCUUCCACACAGUGAGGGGGACAGCAGAGCCAGCCACAGAGAGGGGAAUCGGUAUCCAGCCUGGUGAAGGAAUUCAACAAGAAAACAAAGGAACUGAUUUUAAAAUGGGCAAAGGAUGUGAACAGACAUCUCAAAGGAAGAGAUAUGAAAAUCUGCUCCCACCUUUUACCACCAGGGAAAUGCAAGUUUAGUCGCAGUAAGAUGUCACCUCACACCUUUCAGAAUGACUGCUGAGUACAAUGCAUGCUCAAAGGGAGGUUCUCUGCCCUGGGAGUCGCUGUAGGGAAAAAAACCCAGCGCCCUGGGUCUUCAAAGGGCACCUUUCCUUGGCUCCAGUCUUUAUCCCCAGCCCCACCAAGGUCUUUCCAAACCCGCUUCCUGUUGCAAUGAAGAAGCACCAUUUCUUUAUCCAGUAAGACAGACAGACCUGCCCCUGUCUGUGGCCCUUUGUGGGAACAAUGAAGUCUUAAGCAUCUGAGACCUAAGAUAACACUUGGAUCUCUGGUCUCCUGUGGGGUCCUCGCCCUGCUGGGGCCUGUCCUAAACAGAUUCUGUACCACACAGCCCUGCUGCUCCAGACUGGGGUGGGGCCCUCAAGCUGUUGUCACGAACCCCACAGGUGAUUCUGAUGCACAUUCAAAUUUGGAAACUAACUAACGCCCUGGGGAGUAGGAGGGGUAAUUAAUUAGUCACCCUAAGACUUUGAAGGAGACGUCUGCAUCUUUCAGAGAAAUUGAUGUGGAGAUCAUUCCUAAGUCACUGGGCUCUGGACCUACUGGAAGUCAAACUGGGAAUCCAUUCCCAGGCACCAGAUCUCCCACCUCCCCCAGCACCGCCUCCCUCCCACCCAAAGCACCUUGAUGGGAUUAAAAAUACACCCAAAACUUUUCUGUUUGUAGAACCUAGUGUCAAAUACCGGUGUCCUCGCAGGAGGCACAUUAGCAUUUGAUUAGUAUGUGCAUAGAAAGUUGUCUGAGCCCAAAUACACAAACUGGGAAAUCAAAGAGGGGCCCUCACACCUUUUGCUGGCCUCAUCCUGAACAUUUAUUUGUUUUAAAACAACUUCCUCAGGGAAUUUCCUUCCGAAAAGAAACUCGUCUCCAUUUUAAAGGAAAAUGACCCCCUCUUCCCUACUCCUUAACCAGUUCUGACAGUGACCCCAUAAUGAGAGGGGAGAAGGUGGCAGCUGGCAUUUUUCUUGUCCUCCUUUUUAAAGCUGCAGUGAGACUGUAGAAAACAUCCUCAGGAGAUUUAGAAGCUACAAAGGACUUGAAUUUUUAUAUGGAAUUUAUCCUAAUACCUAGCUAAUGCUUGUGCUUUUGUGCAGAGAAAUAAUUAAAUUAAAAUGCAAUAAACGUUGAACCAUGUUCCUAUGAGGAAAUUAAAAAAAAAAAAACUUUUAACAAAAUGUUUACAGCACUAAGGAAUGGAUUUCCUACUCAAAGUUUCAUCCUAUCAGUAAAGUUUAAAACAAUCCUUACUGAAAGUAAAA
Molecule: long non-coding RNA, 1505 nt
Filed under: Marmota monax (woodchuck)
Lineage: Eukaryota; Metazoa; Chordata; Mammalia; Rodentia; Sciuridae
Source: RNAcentral